Molecule: transfer RNA, 74 nt
Filed under: Chloroflexota bacterium
Lineage: Bacteria; Bacillati; Chloroflexota
Description: Chloroflexi bacterium (sediment metagenome) tRNA-Met
Rfam family: tRNA
About the family: Transfer RNA (tRNA) molecules are approximately 80 nucleotides in length. Their secondary structure includes four short double-helical elements and three loops (D, anti-codon, and T loops). Further hydrogen bonds mediate the characteristic L-shaped molecular structure. tRNAs have two regions of fundamental functional importance: the anti-codon, which is responsible for specific mRNA codon recognition, and the 3' end, to which the tRNAs corresponding amino acid is attached (by aminoacyl-tRNA synthetases). tRNAs cope with the degeneracy of the genetic code in two manners: having more than one tRNA (with a specific anti-codon) for a particular amino acid; and 'wobble' base-pairing, i.e. permitting non-standard base-pairing at the 3rd anti-codon position.
Source: RNAcentral
GGUGAUGUAACUCAGUCGGUUAGAGUACCUCACUCAUAAUGAGGGUGUCGCGUGUUCGAGUCACGCCAUCACCA